GAUGAACGCUGGCGGCGUGCCUAAUACAUGCAAGUCGAGCGAACAGAUAAGGAGCUUGCUCCUUUGACGUUAGCGGCGGACGGGUGAGUAACACGUGGGUAACCUACCUAUAAGACUGGGAUAACUUCGGGAAACCGGAGCUAAUACCGGAUAAUAUUUCGAACCGCAUGGUUCGAUAGUGAAAGAUGGUUUUGCUAUCACUUAUAGAUGGACCCGCGCCGUAUUAGCUAGUUGGUAAGGUAACGGCUUACCAAGGCGACGAUACGUAGCCGACCUGAGAGGGUGAUCGGCCACACUGGAACUGAGACACGGUCCAGACUCCUACGGGAGGCAGCAGUAGGGAAUCUUCCGCAAUGGGCGAAAGCCUGACGGAGUAACGCCGCGUGAGUGAUGAAGGUCUUCGGAUCGUAAAACUCUGUUAUUAGGGAAGAACAUACGUGUAAGUAACUGUGCACGUCUUGACGGUACCUAAUCAGAAAGCCACGGCUAACUACGUG
RNAcentral lists this ribosomal RNA (497 nucleotides) under uncultured bacterium. RNAcentral's name for it is "partial 16S ribosomal RNA". It matches the Rfam family "Bacterial small subunit ribosomal RNA", at positions 28 to 507 of the family's 1533-position model. The record is from RNAcentral.